Mastomys coucha (southern multimammate mouse) is the source of this 1467-nucleotide long non-coding RNA. RefSeq lists it as uncharacterized. The record is from RefSeq and is a predicted model, not a curated record. NCBI's taxonomy places the organism in Eukaryota, Metazoa, Chordata, Mammalia, Rodentia, Muridae. The transcript has 2 exons.
UCCAGUAAUAAAGCCCUCUCUGUGCUGACACAAAGAGUUAAACAGUAAGGCUCACUUUACACAUCCUCACCCACACACAGCUAGAGUCAAAUGGUAACUGGCAUUCACUGGAUGUGCUCUGACUUCUGGUUGAAAGCCCAAACUCCUUUCCUAUGAGCUCAGGUCGUUCUGACCUCAAGACUGUAAUAGGUGGCAAUCUUAUCCUACAGAUGAGAAACCUCAAGAAACAUUGAACUCAUUGGAAGCCAUUAAACAAGGAGCUGUAGAGAAUUCAACAGAGCCGCUAUCCCAUUCGUGGUUACUCAGCACAUAUCAAGGUGAGCGGAACUUGCUCUACGAUUCACAGUAGGCUAAGUGAAGCCCCUCAGGUACAACAUGACCUGUGUGUAGAUACAGCAAGAAACAUGCCUAGGCUGAAGAAGGAAGGAAACCUCAAACAAGAGCACGAUGGGGCUGGAGAGACACUCAGCAAUUAAGAGCAUGUAUUGCAGAAGACUCAAAUUUGAUCACCACAUCCACACAGUGCCUCCCAACCAUUUGUAAUCGCUGUUCCAGGAUCUUCACAGCAACACCAGAUGCAGUGUAAUUCACUAUACAUCCCAGACUGUCCUCAAACUUGAGGCUAUCCAACUUUAUCAGAGGAUGUGCAUCCUGAAUACUACAGUCACAAAUGUGUGCCUCCACACCUGACUUCCCCAAAGAAUACAAAGCUACCUUAUCUACUGUGCAACUAACCUGAAGGCCCAACACUCUCCUUAAGGGCCUUCGGACAAGGCUGGCUUGUCACUAGUGUCUGGGAACUUGGGCUUGGGGAGAUUAGUGACAAGCAGCCCACAGGACCUCACCUGUGCAGGGAACAUGGCUCAUACUGGGAGCCUGGUAUUUAGAGUGUGAUAGCGACUAUCAUGUGAUGGGCACUAAUAUAGUCUCUGAUGAGUCCUCCUGUCUGACUGGUGGCUUUGAAGCAUGCCAUCAGAGUAGCCAAUUAGGAGGUCCUCUGGCACUGUAGUCAGUCGGAGCAUGAACCCACCAGAGACCACAGAGUCUAGGGACUCCUAAGGUUCCCUCCACACAGAGGGUGACUAUCACAAAAGUCAGCAAAUCUCAAACAACUGUAUGCAUGGAGUGACAGCCCAGCCAUCACUGUGUUACCUUCUAUCUCGUUCCAUUCGGUUGUGCCUUUCCCGACGCUGAGACCUUCCUCCCUGGGGUCCACUCUGUGUCUGGUCUCCCAGAUUUGACUGUGAGGACUCUGAAGACUGCCAGGUGCCCUGUGAAGCUGAGGAGCUUUCGCCCACAUUCUGAAUCUCUCCAAGGGCUCUUCGCUCCACACUUGUGUCCAACUGGCGGAUUCUACUCCGAUUCCUCUUAUUGAUUGCUUGUUUACAUAGCGCUUCUUCUUUGCAAAAGAAGUAAAAAGUGGCCAUUUAGUUUUUUAUUCUUAACUUUAUCCCAAUUAAUGUUGAA